This 164-nucleotide ribosomal RNA is filed under the name uncultured bacterium. RNAcentral's name for it is "partial 16S ribosomal RNA". It matches the Rfam family "Bacterial small subunit ribosomal RNA", at positions 355 to 511 of the family's 1533-position model. The record is from RNAcentral.
UAGGGAAUCUUCUACAAUGGACGAAAGUCUGAUGGAGCAACGCCGCGUGAGUGAAGAAGGGUUUCGGCUCGUAAAACUCUGUUGUUAAAGAAGAACAUAUCUGAGAGUAACUGUUCAGGUAUUGACGGUAUUUAACCAGAAAGCCACGGCUAACUACGUGCCAA